UACGGGGGGCGCAAGCGUUGUUCGGAUUUACUGGGCGUAAAGGGCGCGUAGGCGGUCAGCACAAGUCAGUUGUGAAAUCUCCGGGCUUAACUCGGAAAGGUCAACUGAUACUGUGCGACUAGAGUGCGGAAGGGGCAACUGGAAUUCUUGGUGUAGCGGUGAAAUGCGUAGAUAUCAAGAGGAACACCUGCGGCGAAGGCGGGUUGCUGGGCCGACACUGACGCUGAAGCGCGAAAGCCAGGGGAGCGAACGGG
Molecule: ribosomal RNA, 254 nt
Filed under: uncultured bacterium
Lineage: Bacteria
Description: partial 16S ribosomal RNA
Rfam family: Bacterial small subunit ribosomal RNA
Source: RNAcentral